GGUUAAGCGACUAAGCGUACACGGUGGAUGCCCUGGCAGUCAGAGGCGAUGAAGGACGUGCUAAUCUGCGAAAAGCGCCGGCGAGGUGAUAUGAACCUUUGACCCGGCGAUGUCCGAAUGGGGAAACCCAGUGUGAUUCGUCACACUAUCGUUAACUGAAUACAUAGGUUAACGAGGCGAACCGGGGGAACUGAAACAUCUAAGUACCCCGAGGAAAAGAAAUCAACCGAGAUUCCCCCAGUAGCGGCGAGCGAACG
This 257-nucleotide ribosomal RNA is filed under the name Enterobacter roggenkampii. RNAcentral describes it as "partial 23S ribosomal RNA". It matches the Rfam family "Bacterial large subunit ribosomal RNA", at positions 1 to 259 of the family's 2925-position model. Lineage: Bacteria; Pseudomonadati; Pseudomonadota; Gammaproteobacteria; Enterobacterales; Enterobacteriaceae. The record is from RNAcentral.